Molecule: ribosomal RNA, 441 nt
Filed under: Triticum aestivum (bread wheat)
Lineage: Eukaryota; Viridiplantae; Streptophyta; Magnoliopsida; Poales; Poaceae
Description: partial small subunit ribosomal RNA
Source: RNAcentral
AUGCCGCGGGACCUUCAUGCGCAAUCCAGGUUACCAUGGGCUGUUAUAGGGGACUUUAACGAGAUUCUGCUCUCAUCGGAGAAGGAGGGGGGUGCUACCCGCCCUCACACUCGCAUCCAAGCUUUUCAGGAUGCAUUGUCUGACUACUCUUUGGAAGAUCUGGGAUAUGAAGGGGACAAUUUCACCUGGUUCCGAGGAGGUUUACAAGAGAGGCUGGACAGGGCAGUUUCAAAUGUGGAGUGGCUACUAAUGCACCCUUGGGCAGGUCUGAGCAACCUCGAGAUGGGGAAGUCUGACCACCGACCCAUUUGCUUGGAUACUAAUCACUUAGCUGGGGUGGCAGAGAGUAGGCCGACUUACAAAAGAAAUUUUGAAGCUAGAUGGCUAGCGGAGGAGACUGUUGAAGAGGUGGUGAAAACGACACGGUUAAAAGCAGCCUAA